This 77-nucleotide transfer RNA is filed under the name marine sediment metagenome. It matches the Rfam family "tRNA". From Rfam's summary of the family: Transfer RNA (tRNA) molecules are approximately 80 nucleotides in length. Their secondary structure includes four short double-helical elements and three loops (D, anti-codon, and T loops). Further hydrogen bonds mediate the characteristic L-shaped molecular structure. tRNAs have two regions of fundamental functional importance: the anti-codon, which is responsible for specific mRNA codon recognition, and the 3' end, to which the tRNAs corresponding amino acid is attached (by aminoacyl-tRNA synthetases). tRNAs cope with the degeneracy of the genetic code in two manners: having more than one tRNA (with a specific anti-codon) for a particular amino acid; and 'wobble' base-pairing, i.e. permitting non-standard base-pairing at the 3rd anti-codon position. The record is from RNAcentral.
GCCGUUGUAGCUCAGUUGGUUAGAGCGUGUGCAUGGUAAGCACAAGGUCGACGGUUCGAUUCCGUCCAACGGCUCCA